Molecule: ribosomal RNA, 464 nt
Filed under: uncultured bacterium
Lineage: Bacteria
Description: bacterial SSU rRNA
Rfam family: Bacterial small subunit ribosomal RNA
Source: RNAcentral
GAUGAACGCUGGCGGCGUGCCUAACACAUGCAAGUCGAACGCUCGCAAGAGAGUGGCGCACGGGUGAGUAACACGUAGCUAAUCUGCCCUCAAGACAAGGAUAACUGUAGGAAACUACUGCUAAUACUUGAUAAGCUUACGGACUGUAGAGGUCUAUAAGAAAGAUUUAUCGCUUGAGGAUGAGGCUGCGCGCCAUCAGCUAGUUGGUAAGGUAAUGGCUUACCAAGGCGACGACGGCUAGGGGACCUGAGAGGGUGACCCCCCACACUGGGACUGAGACACGGCCCAGACUCCUACGGGAGGCAGCAGUGAGGAAUAUUGCUCAAUGGGCGGCAAGACCUGAAGCAGCGACGCCGCGUGGAUGAAGAAGGUUUUCGGACUGUAAAAUCCUUUUCUGUGUGACGAGAGUGGACGGUAGCACAGGAAUAAGUCUCGGCUAACUACGUGCCAGCAGCCGCGGUAAU